Molecule: long non-coding RNA, 1204 nt
Filed under: Homo sapiens (human)
Lineage: Eukaryota; Metazoa; Chordata; Mammalia; Primates; Hominidae
Description: non-protein coding lnc-EVX1-21:1
Source: RNAcentral
GACAAGAAAAAGAAAUAUGAACCUCCUAUACCAGCUAGAGUGAGGAAGAAGAAGAAAACAAAGGGACCAGAUGCUGCCAGCAAACUGCCACUGAUGACACCUCACACUCUGUGCCAGUUAAAAUUAUUGAAAGUUAGAGAUAAUUAAAUACUGUCUUCUCAUGAAGGAAGAAUUCAUUAGAAAUCAGGAACAAAUGAAACUAUUAGAAGGAAAGCAAGAGGAGGAAAGAUCAAAAGUGGAUGAUCUGAGGGGACCCUGAUGUCAGUAGUAACCUUGGAAGAGAUUAUUGAUGACAAUCAUGCCAUCAUGUCUACAUCUGUGGGCUCAGAGCAUUCUUGUAGACAAGGAUCUGCUGGAACCUGGCUGCUCGGUCCUGCUCAACCACAAGGUUCGUGCUGUGAUAUGGGUGCUGAUGGAUGACACGGAUACCCUAGUCACAAUGAUGAAGGUGGAAAAGACCCCCCAGGAGACCUGUGUUGAUACUGGGGGGUUGGACAGCCAAAUUCAGGAAAUUAAGGAAAUCAUUCUGAAUAUUAUGAAGAGAUGGGUAUAAAGCCCCCUAAGGGAGUCAUUCACUAUGGUCCACCUGGCACAGGUAAAACCUUGUUAGCCAAAGCAGUAGCAAACCACAUCUUAGCCACUUUCUUGCAAGUGAUCAGCUCUGAAUUUAUUCAGAAAUACCUACAUGAUGGGCCCAAACUCAUAUGGGAAUUGUUUCUAGUUGCUGAAGAACAUGCACCUUCCAUCAUGUUUAUUGAUGAAAUUGAUGCUAUUAGGACAAAAAGAUGUGACUCAAAUUCUGAUAGUGAGAGAGAAAUUCAGCAAAUAAUGCUGGAAAUGUUGAACCAGUUGGAUGGAUUUGAUUCAAGGGGAGAUGUGAAAGUUAUCAUAUCCACAAGCCGAAUAGAAACUUUGGAUCUAGCACUUAUCAGACCAGGCUACACUGACAGGAAGCUCAAGUUCCCCCUGCCUGAUGAAAAGACUAAGAAGCACAUCUUUCAGAUGCACACAAGCAGCAUGACACUGGCCAAUGAUGUAACCCUGGAACGACUUGACACUUGACAUCAAGGCAAUCUGCACAGAAGCUAGUCUGAUGGCCUUAAAAGAACAUGGAAUGAAAGUAACAAAUGAAAACUUCAAAAAAUCUCAAGAAAAUGUUCUUUAUAAAGAACAGGAAGACACCCCCAAGGGGCUCUGUCUCUAG